CGGAGACGCCUGCCUCUCUCCCUCACCAUCCCUGCCCAGCUCCAGCCCAGUCUGUUGUGUAAGAGCCAAAGGGGACUUGUGAUAAUGGAGCCACACGCCCAGGCCCAACCCAGACCCAACCCAGACCCGGGGAGCUUGACCCGAGGGGAGCGCAGAACCUGAACCUAACACUCCGAACUCCCCGGCGAGGAGAGGGGGCCGGGCAGCCAAAAGGAAACUCCUGGGUCUUUUAUUGAACGCAUAAAAUAAAAGGUGAAGAGCUCUGGUUGGGACGAAAGCCUCAGAUAAACCCAAGAGAAGCUUGGAGCUGGAGUUCUGCAUUAGGAUCAUGGCUGGGCAUGGCAGCGCAAGCCUACAGUCCCAGCUAUUCAGGUGGCUGAAGCAGGAGGACGGUUUGAGCCCAGCAGUGUGAGGCUGUGGGGUG
Molecule: long non-coding RNA, 424 nt
Organism: Nycticebus coucang (slow loris)
Lineage: Eukaryota; Metazoa; Chordata; Mammalia; Primates; Lorisidae
Exons: 3
Source: RefSeq, a predicted model, not a curated record